RNAcentral lists this ribosomal RNA (174 nucleotides) under uncultured bacterium. RNAcentral describes it as "partial 16S ribosomal RNA". It matches the Rfam family "Bacterial small subunit ribosomal RNA", at positions 335 to 526 of the family's 1533-position model. The record is from RNAcentral.
ACUCCUACGGGAGGCAGCAGUGGGGAAUAUUGGACAAUGGGCGCAAGCCUGAUGCAGCGACGCCGCGUGAAUGAUGAAGGCCUUAGGGUUGUAAAGUUCUUUUAUUGAUGACGAUAAUGACGGUAGUCAAUGAAUAAGCACCGGCUAACUUCGUGCCAGCAGCCGCGGUAAUAC